UUUUCUAUUCAAGGGUUUAGUAGGAUUGGGGGGAUUGUUGUAUGCAGUCACUGUACAACUUACUGUCAACUGGAAAGUGCAAGAACAUCUUCAGUGCACAUUGGAGGACUCUUUCGUGUUCUCACCCUUUUUAUCUUCAUUUUCCUUGCAUUAGUUUGCUUGAACGGUUCAUUGUGUUCUUAUCUGCAUCUGUUAAAUUUUAACUUUGUACCUCUUACAAGAAAAGGGUAAAAAGAUUAGUAA
RNAcentral lists this unclassified non-coding RNA (243 nucleotides) under Hevea brasiliensis (rubber tree). The record is from RNAcentral. Lineage: Eukaryota; Viridiplantae; Streptophyta; Magnoliopsida; Malpighiales; Euphorbiaceae.